AUACUCUGGUUUCUCUUCAGAUCGUAUAAAUCUUUCGCCUUUUACUAAAGAUUUCCGUGGAGAGGAACAAUUAAAAAAAGAAAAAAAGAAAGUAAUAAGGAGAAACAUACACCUACUCU
Small nuclear RNA from Hippopotamus amphibius kiboko, 119 nucleotides. RefSeq annotates it as U5 spliceosomal RNA. The transcript has a single exon. The record is from RefSeq and is a predicted model, not a curated record. Lineage: Eukaryota; Metazoa; Chordata; Mammalia; Artiodactyla; Hippopotamidae.